RNAcentral lists this ribosomal RNA (427 nucleotides) under uncultured bacterium. RNAcentral describes it as "partial 16S ribosomal RNA". It matches the Rfam family "Bacterial small subunit ribosomal RNA", at positions 355 to 774 of the family's 1533-position model. The record is from RNAcentral.
UGGGGAAUAUUGCACAAUGGGCGCAAGCCUGAUGCAGCCAUGCCGCGUGUAUGAAGAAGGCCUUCGGGUUGUAAAGUACUUUCAGCGGGGAGGAAGGGAGUAAAGUUAAUACCUUUGCUCAUUGACGUUACCCGCAGAAGAAGCACCGGCUAACUCCGUGCCAGCAGCCGCGGUAAUACGGAGGGUGCCAGCGUUAAUAGGAAUUACUGGGCGUAAAGCGCACGCAGGCGGUUUGUUAAGUCAGAUGUGAAAUCCCCGGGCUCAACCUGGGAACUGCAUCUGAUACUGGCAAGCUUGAGUCUCGUAGAGGGGGGUAGAAUUCCAGGUGUAGCGGUGAAAUGCGUAGAGAUCUGGAGGAAUACCGGUGGCGAAGGCGGCCCCCUGGACGAAGACUGACGCUCAGGUGCGAAAGCGUGGGGAGCAAACA